Molecule: ribosomal RNA, 253 nt
Filed under: uncultured bacterium
Lineage: Bacteria
Description: partial 16S ribosomal RNA
Rfam family: Bacterial small subunit ribosomal RNA
Source: RNAcentral
UACGGAGGGUGCGAGCGUUGUCCGGAAUCACUGGGCGUAAAGGGCGCGUAGGCGGCGCGGGCAGUCAACGGUGAAAGCUUGGGGCUCAACCCCGAGUCGGCCGUCGAUACUCCCGGGCUUGAGCACUGUAGAGGCGGGUGGAAUUCCGGGUGUAGCGGUGGAAUGCGUAGAGAUCCGGAAGAACACCGGUGGCGAAGGCGGCCCGCUGGGCUGUUGCUGACGCUGAGGCGCGACAGCGUGGGGAGCAAACAGG